GAUGAACGCUGACAGAAUGCUUAACACAUGCAAGUCUUUGGCGAAGCUGUGCUUGCACAGCCUAGUCAAGGCGGACGGGUGAGUAACGCGUAAGGAACUUGCCCUGCAGUCAGGGAUAACAGACGGAAACGACUGAUAAGACCUGGUAAAGUCAGGCGGACUCAUGUCCAGCCUGAUGAAAAGUGAUGCUGCAGGAGAGCCUUGCGUCCUAUUAGCUUGUUGGUGGGGUAACGGCCCACCAAGGCGAUGAUAGGUAGCCGGCCUGAGAGGGUGGACGGCCACAAGGGGACUGAGAUACGGCCCUUACUCCUACGGGAGGCAGCAGUGGGGAAUAUUGGACAAUGGGGGCAACCCUGAUCCAGCAAUUCUGUGUGCACGAUGAAGGUUUUCGGAUUGUAAAGUGCUUUCAGCAGGGAAGAAAAAAAUGACGGUACCUGCAGAAGAAGCGACGGCUAAAUACGUG
This 463-nucleotide ribosomal RNA is filed under the name uncultured bacterium. RNAcentral's name for it is "partial 16S ribosomal RNA". It matches the Rfam family "Bacterial small subunit ribosomal RNA", at positions 28 to 507 of the family's 1533-position model. The record is from RNAcentral.